RNAcentral lists this long non-coding RNA (521 nucleotides) under Carica papaya (papaya). RNAcentral's name for it is "long non-coding RNA (CPAP_LNC005458)". Lineage: Eukaryota; Viridiplantae; Streptophyta; Magnoliopsida; Brassicales; Caricaceae. The record is from RNAcentral.
GGGAAAAGAAACAUGAGGAGAGGAAUACCUCCAUUGAAUAGAGCAGUCCAAGAGGGGUCGUUACGGGAGGGCAUUGAUCGACUCUAUGAUAUAGUGGAGAGGUUGGUCUCUACCCAGCAGGCUAGGGAGGAGAUGAGAGAGUUACCUGAUCUCCCUCCACCGCUACCACAGUAUGAUCCACCUCCACUAUAGCAAAAUCUAGUACCACCCCAGAGCAAUCCGAUUUUGCCCUGGUAUUAAACCAGUCCCUCUGAAGUACGACUUAGUUCCUCUUCCUUGUAAUCCUGUUCCUUUUCAGCAAGACCCAGCUCCACCCAUGAUGGACUCAGACUACAUCAAAAGGUAUAAGAGACUCAACCCAUCCAUUAUUGUAGGAGCAUCUAGUUUUAAAGAAGUUGAAUACUGGUUAAUAGAGACCGAGAAGGCCUUCAUGACACUUGGGGUGACCCCAGAAUAAAAGGUCAUCCUUGCGACAUACAUGUUCGUGGGCGAAGUAGGACAUUGGUGGCAACUCAAGCAGG